GUUUGCGUUCAAAAUGGAUCGUGUAGGACACGAAACAGAUAGAAUGGUCCGGUCCGUCUCGCGCUGGGGCGACCUGUUUAUCCGUUUUAUCCCAAACGAACGGUGCCGGACAACAUGGGGUCGUGAAAUGAAGUUGGCCUUAUAUAUAAAAAUGAAAGGAGCAUUAUUUUGUAAACUAGAGAAAGACAGUUGUACGGUAAUUAUUGAGGCAGUGCAGCUAAUUUCUGUAUCCAGAGCAUGAUUCUAAUACGUAGUUCAUCUUAGCAUACUUAGGAUGACACGUACUCCCAUCCGGUUUACUUUGUUUAUUAAAUUUAUGUUAAGUCAAACUUUAUAAA
Molecule: long non-coding RNA, 338 nt
Filed under: Hordeum vulgare
Lineage: Eukaryota; Viridiplantae; Streptophyta; Magnoliopsida; Poales; Poaceae
Description: long non-coding RNA (HVUL_LNC009169)
Source: RNAcentral